GAUGAACGCUGGCGGUGUGCCUAAUACAUGCAAGUCGAGCGAACAGACGAGGAGCUUACUCCUCUGACGUUAGCGGCGGACGGGUGAGUAACACGUGGAUAACCUACCUAUAAGACUGGGAUAACUUCGGGAAACCGGAGCUAAUACCGGAUAACAUGUUGAACCGCAUGGUUCAACAGUGAAAGACGGUCUUGCUGUCACUUAUAGAUGGAUCCGCGUCGCAUUAGCUAGUUGGUAAGGUAACGGCUUACCAAGGCAACGAUGCGUAGCCGACCUGAGAGGGUGAUCGGCCACACUGGAACUGAGACACGGUCCAGACUCCUACGGGAGGCAGCAGUAGGGAAUCUUCCGCAAUGGGCGAAAGCCUGACGGAGCAACGCCGCGUGAGUGAAGAAGGUCUUCGGAUCGUAAAACGCUGUUAUUAGGGAAGAACAAAUGUGUAAGUAACUAUGCACGUCUUGACGGUACCUAAUCAGAAAGCCACGGCUAACUACGUG
RNAcentral lists this ribosomal RNA (497 nucleotides) under uncultured bacterium. Its description in RNAcentral is "partial 16S ribosomal RNA". It matches the Rfam family "Bacterial small subunit ribosomal RNA", at positions 28 to 507 of the family's 1533-position model. The record is from RNAcentral.